This 219-nucleotide non-coding RNA is filed under the name Tepidibacillus sp. Its description in RNAcentral is "T-box sequence". It matches the Rfam family "T-box leader". From Rfam's summary of the family: Uncharged tRNA acts as the effector for transcription antitermination of genes in the T-box leader family. T-boxes are found upstream of many aminoacyl-tRNA synthetase genes and some amino acid biosynthetic genes usually in Gram-positive bacteria. The record is from RNAcentral. Lineage: Bacteria; Bacillati; Bacillota; Bacilli; Caryophanales; Bacillaceae.
UAUGAAACGAGGAUUGGGAUCUGUCAACUAGACCCCAGAUUUAAGCGAGCUAGGGUUGGUGUGAGCCUAGUAAUUUGGACUAUGUUGAAUAUCACCCAUGAGUUACUUUUCUGAAUGCAUUGAAAAACAAGUAAGAAAAGUCGGUUUAAUCCGUUAUCUUUUAUAAGUGGCUAUAUACGCUAUUAGGGUGGUACCGCGGGUAACCUUCUCGUCCCUUGA